This 642-nucleotide ribosomal RNA is filed under the name uncultured bacterium. RNAcentral's name for it is "bacterial SSU rRNA". It matches the Rfam family "Bacterial small subunit ribosomal RNA", at positions 60 to 722 of the family's 1533-position model. The record is from RNAcentral.
CGUCGAACGAGAAGCCCUUCGGGGUGGAAAGUGGCGAAAGGGUGAGUAACCCGUGAGUAACUUGCCUCCGAAUCGGGGAUAACAGUUGGAAACGACUGCUAAUACCGGAUGUGAAUACUGAAUCGCAUGUUUUAGUAUUUAAAGAUCUUUUGUUCGGAGAUAGGCUCGCGUCCCAUUAGCUUGUUGGUAAGGUAACGGCUUACCAAGGCUUAGACGGGUAGGUGGUCUGAGAGGAUGGUCACCCACACUGGGACUGAGACACUGCCCAGACUCCUGCGGGAGGCUGCAGUCGAGAAUCUUCCGCAAUGCGCGAAAGCGUGACGGAGCAAUGCCGCGUGAAUGAUGAAGGCCUUCGGGUCGUAAAGUUCUGUCAGGGGUGAAGAACAUUGACAUUAACCCCAGAGGAAGCCACGGCUAACUACGUGCCAGCAGCCGCGGUAAUACGUAGGUGGCGAGCGUUAUUCGGAUUUACUGGGCGUAAAGGAUUCGUAGGGGGCUUAAUAAGUCUGGUGUGAAAUUUCGGGGCUCAACCCCGAAGCUGCAUUGGAAACUGUUUAGCUUGAGUUCCGUGAGAGGUAAGUGGAAUUCGUGGUGUAGCGGUGGAAUGCGUACAUAUCACGAGGAACAUCAAAAGGCGAAAGC